This is a small RNA of 96 nucleotides. It matches the Rfam family "sraA". The record is from Rfam.
AAGUAGAACAGUAUAUGGGGAUGUUUCCUGGACAUUCAAUGUCAGGUAUACAGGAAAAAUAAAAGGGGGACAAAAUCCCCCUUAUAAUUUUUAACU